UACGAAAGGGGCUAGCGUUGUUCGGAAUUACUGGGCGUAAAGCGCACGUAGGCGGCCUUGUAAGUUGGGGGUGAAAUCCCGGAGCUCAACUCCGGAACUGCCUUCAAGACUGCAAAGCUCGAGGACGCGAGAGGUUAGCGGAAUUCCGAGUGUAGAGGUGAAAUUCGUAGAUAUUCGGAAGAACACCAGUGGCGAGGGCGGCUAACUGGCGCGUUUCUGACGCUGAGGUGCGAAAGCGUGGGGAGCAAACAGG
This 253-nucleotide ribosomal RNA is filed under the name uncultured bacterium. RNAcentral describes it as "partial 16S ribosomal RNA". It matches the Rfam family "Bacterial small subunit ribosomal RNA", at positions 524 to 776 of the family's 1533-position model. The record is from RNAcentral.